UGCCGAAGCAACUAGCCCUUAAAAUGGGAGGCGCUUUAGCAUUGUGCUGAUACCGGACCGCCGGUCGCAGAGCUCGUCGAUCCUUGGUGAUCGUCGCUGACGCGCCGGUGAGUAGGGAGGUCGCACUGGUUGCGUUGAAGGGUUUGGGCGUGAGCCUGCCUGGAGCGGCCAGUGGCGCAGAUCUUGGUGGUAGUAGCAAAUACUCGAGAGAGAUCCUUGAGGCCUGACGUGGGGAAGGGUUCCAUGUGAACAGUGGUUGGACAUGGGUCAGUCGGUCCUAAGCCCAACCUGAAAUGGUAGCACAAGACGAGCGUUGAACGAAAGAGACACANUGUGUUGAUCGCAAANCGUGAGGCUCGUGGCAAGGGCGAAAGGGAAUCCCGUUUUUAUUCGGGAACCUGGUUGGGGUAACGUUCGGAUCCUCGUAUCCGUCUCGGCAACGANAAUUGGCCAUGGGAAGCUGGCGGGA
This 469-nucleotide ribosomal RNA is filed under the name Artemia salina. RNAcentral describes it as "LSU rRNA". It matches the Rfam family "Eukaryotic large subunit ribosomal RNA", at positions 1295 to 1676 of the family's 3401-position model. Lineage: Eukaryota; Metazoa; Arthropoda; Branchiopoda; Anostraca; Artemiidae. The record is from RNAcentral.